GGUGGUGCAUGGUUGUCGUCAGCUCGUGUCGUGAGAUGUUGGGUUAAGUCCCGCAACGAGCGCAACCCUUAAGCUUAGUUGCCAGCAUUAAGUUGGGCACUCUAAGUUGACUGCCGGUGACAAACCGGAGGAAGGUGGGGAUGACGUCAAAUCAUCAUGCCCCUUAUGAUUUGGGCUACACACGUGCUACAAUGGACAAUACAAAGGGCAGCGAAACCGCGAGGUCAAGCAAAUCCCAUAAAGUUGUUCUCAGUUCGGAUUGUAGUCUGCAACUCGACUACAUGAAGCUGGAAUCGCUAGUAAUCGUAGAUCAGCAUGCUACGGUGAAUACGUUCCCGGGUCUUGUACAC
RNAcentral lists this ribosomal RNA (350 nucleotides) under uncultured Staphylococcus sp. RNAcentral's name for it is "bacterial SSU rRNA". It matches the Rfam family "Bacterial small subunit ribosomal RNA", at positions 1037 to 1388 of the family's 1533-position model. Lineage: Bacteria; Bacillati; Bacillota; Bacilli; Caryophanales; Staphylococcaceae. The record is from RNAcentral.